RNAcentral lists this ribosomal RNA (599 nucleotides) under Cortinarius sp. GG303_86. Its description in RNAcentral is "eukaryotic LSU rRNA". The stretch from base 209 to 362 matches the Rfam family "5.8S ribosomal RNA". The record is from RNAcentral. Lineage: Eukaryota; Fungi; Basidiomycota; Agaricomycetes; Agaricales; Cortinariaceae.
CGUAACAAGGUUUCCGUAGGUGAACCUGCGGAAGGAUCAUUAUUGAAAUAAACCUGAUAGGUUGUUGCUGGUUCUCUCGGGAGCAUGUGCACGCCUUGUCAUCUUUAUAUAUCUCCACCUGUGCACCUUUUGUAGACCUUUAUAGGUCUAUGUUGCUUCAUUUACCCCAAUGUAUGUUGAUAGAAUGUCGUCCUAUAAAAAUAUAUACAACUUUCAGCAACGGAUCUCUUGGCUCUCGCAUCGAUGAAGAACGCAGCGAAAUGCGAUAAGUAAUGUGAAUUGCAGAAUUCAGUGAAUCAUCGAAUCUUUGAACGCACCUUGCGCUCCUUGGUAUUCCGAGGAGCAUGCCUGUUUGAGUGUCAUUAAUAUAUAUCAACCCUUCUCUUUUUGAAUGGUUUGGAUGUGGGGGUUUGCUGGUCUCUUAUAGGGUUCAGCUCUCCUGAAAUGCAUUAGCAGAACAACCUGUUCAUUGGUGUGAUAACUAUCUACGCUUUUGAAUGUAAAGGGACAGUUCAGCUUUCUAACCGUCUUUGGACAAUCUAUCAUUUAUGUGACCUCAAAUCAGGUAGGACUACCCGCUGAACUUAAGCAUAUCAAUA